ACUCAAAUGAAUUGACGGGGGCCCGCACAAGCGGUGGAGCAUGUGGUUUAAUUCGAUGCAACGCGAAAAACCUUACCUACCCUUGACAUGUCAGGAAGUUUUCAGAGAUGAGAAUGUGCCCGCGAGGGAACCUGAACACAGGUGCUGCAUGGCUGUCGUCAGCUCGUGUCGUGAGAUGUUGGGUUAAGUCCCGUAACGAGCGCAACCCCUAUUGUUAGUUGCCAGCAAGUAAUGUUGGGCACUCUAAUGAGACUGCCGGUGAUAAACCGGAGGAAGGUGGGGAUGAUGUCAAGUCAUCAUGGCCCUUAUGGGUAGGGCUACACACGUGCUACAAUGGCCGGUACAAAGGGAAGCGAAGUCGCGAGAUGGAGCGAAACCUCAGAAGCCGGUCGUAGUCCGGAUUGGAGUCUGCAACUCGACUCCAUGAAGUCGGAAUCGCUAGUAAUCGUGGAUCAGCAUGCCACGGUGAAUACGUUCCCGGGCCUUGUACACACCGCCCGU
This 501-nucleotide ribosomal RNA is filed under the name uncultured bacterium. RNAcentral's name for it is "partial 16S ribosomal RNA". It matches the Rfam family "Bacterial small subunit ribosomal RNA", at positions 899 to 1397 of the family's 1533-position model. The record is from RNAcentral.